RNAcentral lists this long non-coding RNA (231 nucleotides) under Lathyrus oleraceus (garden pea). Its description in RNAcentral is "Pisum sativum (pea) long non-coding RNA (PSAT_LNC012293)". Lineage: Eukaryota; Viridiplantae; Streptophyta; Magnoliopsida; Fabales; Fabaceae. The record is from RNAcentral.
UCUUUUCUCUUUCUUUUGAUUUCUUUUGAUUUUGAUUUCUUUGGAUUUUAAACCCUCCUCUUUCUUUUCUUUUCUUUUUUUUUUAUUACAUUUGUAAUGCCCCAGUUUGGCUGUUUUGUUGAUUCUCGAGAUACAGCUGAAUGAUCUUCUUUUCUUGCUCAAGAAGUCGGGAAAUCUCGUCAGGAAUCCCUUCAACAUCAUCUUCUUCCGCUUCGAAUACAGGGAAUUCAA